Molecule: long non-coding RNA, 5195 nt
Filed under: Drosophila guanche
Lineage: Eukaryota; Metazoa; Arthropoda; Insecta; Diptera; Drosophilidae
Source: RNAcentral
AUGCAACACUGUUUCCCGUAUUUCCUUCUUUUGACAACCACAGUCAACGUGAUACAGCCUUUUCCGGUUAAUUCGUUGAACAUGGCAGUCGGCAAAAAUAAAGGUCUUUCCAAGGGAGGAAAAAAGGGUGGUAAGAAGAAGGUAGUAGAUCCCUUUUCACGCAAGGACUGGUACGAUGUCAAAGCACCGAAUAUGUUUCAAACCCGUCAAAUCGGUAAAACGCUUGUCAACCGCACCCAGGGACAAAGAAUUGCCUCGGAUUACUUGAAGGGUCGCGUGUUCGAAGUGUCUCUGGCUGAUCUGCAGAAAGACAUCGAUCCUGAGCGUUCGUUUCGUAAGUUCCGUCUUAUUGCUGAAGACGUACAGGACCGCAACGUUCUGUGCAACUUCCAUGGAAUGGAUUUGACUACCGAUAAAUACAGGUAAUUGCAUUUUCCGUGUUAAUGCUCAACAAGCAAGCCAUUCACAUAUCCAUAUAUAUAUGUAUGUAAGUACGUACAUAUGUAUGUAUGUACAUAUACAUACGUAUGUACAUAUCCAUAUAUCCAUAUCUUUUAGCUGAAGAGUUUUUUGUCUAUAACUUAUGUAGAUUGUAGCUUAUUUGACAACUAAAUGUUCUGCGCAUUAAAAUAAAGUAAUGCAUAAUGAAAAGAUUUGGCACACAAUGGCCAAAGGUUCAUACAAGCAGAUAGUUAUAUAUCUACAUAAGAAUAGAUGGGCAUAGGGCUAAACGACACAUAGAUACACAUAUAUCCAAUAAUCUACACAAAUGUACGUUUUCUUUUGGAUAGGUCCAUGGUGAAAAAGUGGCAAACACUUAUUGAGGCCAUAGUUGAGGCCAAAACCGUUGAUGGGUAUCUGUUGCGUGUUUUCUGCAUUGGAUUUACUGCAAAAGACCAACAGUCUCAGCGUAAAACUUGCUAUGCGCAACAGUCUCAGGUCCGUAAGAUUCGCGCACGUAUGACUGACAUCAUAACUAAUGAAGUCAGUGGGGCUGAUCUGAAGCAACUAGUUAACAAAUUAGCUCUGGACUCAAUUGCAAAAGAUAUUGAAAAGAGUUGUCAACGCAUUUAUCCUUUACAUGAUGUUUACAUCCGUAAAGUGAAGGUGUUGAAGAAGCCUCGUUUUGACGUAUCCAAACUUCUGGAGUUGCAUGGUGAUGGUGGCGGAAAAACUACAGAAGCCGUCGUAUCUGCUGAAGGCGCUGUGGUCGACCGUCCCGAAGGUUACGAACCACCCGUACAGGAGGCAGUCUAAGCUGGAUAUGCAUUUUGUUUAUUGUAUUGCAUUCAGAGAGCAUAUAAUAUAUAACUCUACGUUUUGUAGAACAUCAUUUUUGUGUUUUAGCUUCUUGGUUCCAGGGGGUUUUAUUUUUAAUUUUAGGGGAGUCCGGAAUUGGAAUACUGCCGUUAACGUUUUACCAAAUGUAAUACAAAUGGUAUCCUACAUUUAGAGCAUGGUAUGUAAGCUUGAAACAAUAAACCUAAAUGGUGUAAACCAUAUAACCAUAUGUUUUCCACAUCUUAGAUUACAUGAUAACUUGAGGAUAGCUAAAGGUACACAAGCUGUGCAACAGGUAAAUAUCAAAUAUAAGAUUCGGUUUGCAAAAUGAUGUUUAAUUUUUCGUCUCUGUCAGUUUACUGAUGACAAUUCAUGGCUGAUUGCAAAAAAAAAAAACAAAUAGAUUGCUGUAUAAACAUAUGAACUUACUUUUGAACAUCUAAGUUUUCAAUUUUUGCAGACAAUAUGAAGCAGUAAACGACCAUGACACACGGAGGUCGGAUCCAAUUGGACCGCUAAUUGGUAAAUGUAUGAAUAUACUUGCAUGAAUCUUACAAGUUCCACAUGUUUUAGGUGGUUUCCCUUCGAUAGUAGCUAACUUUUAGAUGGUGCUAUCGUAAGAUAUUGCUAAAUCGCUAGAUACUAUCUUGCUUAUUUGUCUGAUAGUUUCAUGUCCAAAUUUACUUAGUCAUAUAUAUUAUUACAACUUUCAAUUUUUAGAACGGGGUUUGUUGGAAUUCGGUGAUUACAAAGUUAAGUAAAACAUCAAUACCUUUUAGCUGUGACUGAAACGCUUAAUGCAUUUCCAAUAUCCACUCAUGAAUUUAUAGCAGAAUUCAGCUACAGGCAUAAGGCUUGGUGAAAGCUAAGAAAAUAACUCAAAAAUGAUGUACUUUUUAUUUGCUACUCUUGAAAAAGAUGAUGAAAAUUGUCACCUUAGUAACUGAUCUGGAAGGAAAUAAAAAAAAUAUUGCUCUACAAUACUUUAACCAAUGUAUUUAAUAUUUUCAAUUAAAUUCCCCCAUUUAGCGCCAAAAACGUGUGGCGUAAAGACUUCUGCAAAUAGUAGAUGUAAAUACAAAAUGAAAGUUCACUCAUUUUCUAAAAAUAAAAUAUGAACAUGUUAACUAUAAAUAUACUACUUUGUUAAUGGGUCGAGCGAAGCUAUAAGGUACUUCUCUUGACAAGGUUUAGGUUGGUUUAAUAUGACGACUAUAUUCCGAAAUUGUUUAAUCAAAAAACAUCAAUGUUUACUUUAUUAGAUUGCAACACAAUACUUUUUUCUUUUCAGAAAGAUGGUGGAGAAUAUUAAAUAUAUGAGUCUACAAUAUGCUAAGGAAGUCUCUCUGCUGAACUUAGAUCUAAUGAAUUUAUUGGAAGUUUAGAGAGGUGUGUAUGCUAUGCAUGUGGUGAGACAACUACCAGUAAUAUUUGAGCAGGCUACAUAGAAACUUAUUUUUUGUUUAGAGAAUUUAACAAAUGAAUAUCGUAAUAUCUUCGUUCUGAUUUUCCGAUACAAAAGAAUUGAUAAUUGAUAGCAUGAUGAUUUGUUUACGGAUUCCCCAUCAUUUAUCUAAUAAAUGAAAAGUUCCACCCACUGAAACUAUAUUAGAAUACAAAAAUUUAAUUUGUUGAUUUGUUUGAUUUCUAAUUCUUAGUUUUCUUCUGGUUUUCAGCUACAUGUAUUAUGCCUGGAAUCAAAGGAUAACGCGAGUCCUAUUUCAGGUGGGUACGUUAGAUGAUAGCCAAAAAAAAAACUCAGAAAUGAUGUUGUUUUUAUUUGCUACUCUUGAAAAAGAUGAUGAAAAUUGUCACCUUAGUAACUGAUCUGGAAGGAAAUAAAAAAAAUAUUGCUAUACAAUACUUUAACCAAUGUAUUUAAUAUUUUCAAUUAAAUUCCCCCAUUUAGCGCCAAAAACGUGUGUCGCAUUUCUGAAGACGUUUAUCAUCUACAUUUAUGUUUUACUUAAGUGAGUAAAAGAUUUUUAUUUUAUACUUGUACAACUGAUAUUUUUAUGAUGAAACAAUUACCCAGCUCGCUUCGAUAUUCCAUGAAGAGAACUGUUCCAAAUCCAACCAAAUUAUACUGCUGAUAUAAGGCUUUAACAAAUUAGUUUUUUGUUCAAUGUUUACUUUAUUAGAUUGCAACACAAUACUUUUUUCUUUUCAGAAAGAUGGUGGAGAAUAUUAAAUAUAUGAGUCUACAAUAUGCUAAGGAAGUCUCUCUGCUGAACUUAGAUCUAAUGAAUUUAUUGGAAGUUUAGAGAGGUGUGGUGCUAUGGUGUGGUGAGACAACUACCAGUAAUAACACUACUCGACAAAAUCCAACCUUUUUUCCGCUUCGAGCCAAACUGACUUUUUGAUAGACUGACUAGGCUUUACAUUUUUGAAAAUUAUUAUUUUUUUUUCAGAAACAGAAAUACUCUGGCAGUUUGUCGCACAACUCCACUCCAACAGGUACCCGAAACAAUUAAAAGAAAGAGUAUUUUGAUGAUAUAUAUAUAGUAUAUAGUAGUAAUGAUAGUAGAUUGGUAAUCUGAUAGAUACGGGCAUUCCCUACGGAAUGGCGUUUUUAGUUUUCUUUUAUCUUCAAAACUGUAGGUUUGGGAGGUUUUCGCUUCAGUGAGCAAUAAAGCAGCCUGGAUGAAAAAUUUGGUGGCUCUAGCUCUUAUAGUCUCUGAGAACUAGCCGACAAACAAGACGGACAGACAGGCAUGGCACUAUUGAUGUUGAUCAAGAAUAUAUAUACUUGAUGGGGUCGGAAACGUUUCCUUCUGUGCGUUACAUACAACCGUUAUUCGCACAAAUACAAUAUACCCUAUUUACUCUUCGAGUACCGGGUAUAAAAACAAAUAUAAGCGGCGGGACGGGGUGGGUUAAAAGUCGGCAGAGGCAGAAGCCAAGUGAAGCAGAAGCAGUGUGAAUGAGAGAACGUGAAAAGAACAACAAAAGCUGCGGGACAGGGUGGGUUUAGCCACUGGAAAAUAAUUUCUCCAUUGUGGCUAUAAUAAUGAUCCAAUCGGAUCCCAAUUUGGUAAUCUGAUAGAUACGGGCAUUCCCUACGGAAUCGCGUUUUUAGUUUUCUUUUAUCUUCAAAACUGUAGGUUUGGGAGGUUUCCGCACUUUUGUGGAGACGGAAGGGGGCGGUGUCAGUGUGAGCAUAUAGCAGUCUGGAUGCAAAAUUUGGUGGCUCUAGCUUUAAUAGUCUAUGAGAACCAGGCGCGCAAAAGACGGACGGACAGACAGAAACGACGCCCAAUUAAUGCACCUCUACAUGAAUGCAAAAUAGAGAUCACAGGAUUUAUUUUCUUUUGGACUUAUCCCGACUUUUUAAAAAAUCGGCAUUUUUACAUUUUAAAGCUUAACAUUUUUCAAACGCUAAACUAGACCACAAUGUGUUUGGACAUACAUUAUAUAUGCAUAUUUCAGCUUUAUAGAAUGGCUUAGUUCAUUACAAUCAGAUCUAAGAUACUCAAGUUGUGUAAAACAGCGCUACCUCUAAAAAAGAGCGUUAAAGAAAAUACUAGAUUUAAACAUUUUUUUAAAAAAGUUCUGACUGAAAAAAAAAUUAUCAUCAAACCAUUUCUAAACCCCAUAACUUUUAGAAAAAGUUGGUCUGGAUCGAAGCGUCAAAAUCGUGUCGAGUAGUGUUUUUGCAAGCAAAAAACUGGGUACGAACAAGUUUAAAUAUAAACCUAUUCUUUAUAACAUUCAGUUUUUACCAAUUGUAUUAACUGUAUCAUAUAUUAACUGUAAAUAAAAAUAAUAUAUAAAAACACCUAUUCAAAACAAAAUAGUUUGGAAGUUUCAAUAUUAUAUUUUUGAAAAUCCCGACGAAUUUUUUUAACACGUGGAGGGACGUGUGACCCGCUUAGUACGUGUCACAGCUUUUAUACCCGGUUCUCAGUCAGUAC